CCUACGGGAGGCAGCAGUGAGGAAUAUUGGUCAAUGGUCGGGAGACUGAACCAGCCAAGCCGCGUGAGGGAGGAAGGUACAGAGUAUCGUAAACCUCUUUUGUCAGGGAACAAAGGCGGGGACGUGUCCCCGGAUGAGUGUACCUGAAGAAAAAGCAUCGGCUAACUCCGUGCCAGCAGCCGCGGUAAUACGGAGGAUGCGAGCGUUAUCCGGUGUUAUGGGGUUGAAAGGGUGCGCAGGCGGUCUGUUAAGUCAGCGGUCAAAGCCCGGGGCUCAACCCCGGCCCGCCGUUGAAACUGGCAGUCUCGAGUUGGAGAGAAGGAUGCGGAAUGCGCGGUGUAGCGGUGAAAUGCAUAGAUAUCGCGCAGAACUCCGAUUGCGAAGGCAGCAUGCCGGCUCCACACUGACGCUGAGGCACGAAAGCGUGGGUAUCGAACAGGAUUAGAUACCCCUGUAGUC
RNAcentral lists this ribosomal RNA (459 nucleotides) under uncultured bacterium. Its description in RNAcentral is "partial 16S ribosomal RNA". It matches the Rfam family "Bacterial small subunit ribosomal RNA", at positions 338 to 795 of the family's 1533-position model. The record is from RNAcentral.